This 253-nucleotide ribosomal RNA is filed under the name uncultured bacterium. RNAcentral describes it as "partial 16S ribosomal RNA". It matches the Rfam family "Bacterial small subunit ribosomal RNA", at positions 524 to 776 of the family's 1533-position model. The record is from RNAcentral.
UACGUAGGUGGCAAGCGUUGUCCGGAAUUAUUGGGCGUAAAGGGCGCGUAGGUGGAUCAUUAAGUCUUGAGUCUAAGAGCGGUGCUCAACGCCGUAUAGGCGCAGGAAACUGGAGAUCUUGAGUGCAGGAGAGGAAAGCGGAAUUCCCAGUGUAGCGGUGAAAUGCGUAGAUAUUGGGAGGAACACCAGUGGCGAAGGCGGCUUUCUGGACUGUGUCUGACACUGAGGCGCGAAAGCCAGGGGAGCGAACGGG